Molecule: ribosomal RNA, 471 nt
Filed under: uncultured bacterium
Lineage: Bacteria
Description: partial 16S ribosomal RNA
Rfam family: Bacterial small subunit ribosomal RNA
Source: RNAcentral
GACGAACGCUGGCGGCGUGCUUAACACAUGCAAGUCGAACGCUGAAGCUUGGUGCUUGCACUGGGUGGAUGAGUGGCGAACGGGUGAGUAAUACGUGAGUAACCUGCCCUUGACUCUGGGAUAAGCCUGGGAAACUGGGUCUAAUACUGGAUACGACAUGUCACCGCAUGGUGGUGUGUGGAAGGGUUUUACUGGUUUUGGAUGGGCUCACGGCCUAUCAGCUUGUUGGUGGGGUAAUGGCUCACCAAGGCGACGACGGGUAGCCGGCCUGAGAGGGUGACCGGCCACACUGGGACUGAGACACGGCCCAGACUCCUACGGGAGGCAGCAGUGGGGAAUAUUGCACAAUGGGCGGAAGCCUGAUGCAGCGACGCCGCGUGAGGGAUGACGGCCUUCGGGUUGUAAACCUCUUUCAGCACGGAAGAAGCGAAAGUGACGGUACGUGCAGAAGAAGCGCCGGCUAACUACGUG